Long non-coding RNA from Herpailurus yagouaroundi (jaguarundi), 858 nucleotides. RefSeq lists it as uncharacterized. The record is from RefSeq and is a predicted model, not a curated record. NCBI's taxonomy places the organism in Eukaryota, Metazoa, Chordata, Mammalia, Carnivora, Felidae. The transcript is spliced from 2 exons.
CAUAGUAGACACACAAUUUAUAUCAGUUUUAGGUAUACAACAUAGUGAUUUGACACAUCUAUAAUGUUAUGCCAUGCUCACCUCAAGUGUAGCUACUGUCUGUCACCAUGCAAUGCCAUUACAAUAUCACGGACGGUAGUCCCUAUGCUGUGCUUUAUUCCUGUGACUCAGUCAUUCCACAACCGAAAGCUUCAGCCUCUCCCCUUCACCCAUUUUGCCCAACCCUCCGUCCCCCUUCCUUCUGACAACCAUCAGUUUGUUCUCUGUACUUAUAAGUCUGAUUCUGUUUUUUGUUUAUUCAUUUGUUUUGUUUUUUUUAGAUUCCACACAAGUGAACUCAUAUGGUCUAUGACGAUGACUUUUUAGAUACAACACUAAAAGCAGGAUCCACUGCUUAGGAAUAACUGAUAAGAUAGACUUCAUUAAAAUUAAAAACUUCUGCUCUGCAAAAGACACUGCCAGGAAAAUAAGAAAACAAACCACAUACUGAAAGAAAAUAUUUGCAGAAGACAGAUCUGAUAAAGGACUGUUCUCUCAAGGCUGUGCAGCAUCAAAGAAGCAUGCGGAUUUGUACGGAUGCCUCAACUUGUAGGUCAAUAAAGGGAGUUUGAAAGAUGAACAAAGAAAGGUGACUGGUGCAGAAAAUGCUAUUAAAUCUGAAGAGUAAGUUUUGUCCAGAGUAACUGAGAAGUGGCCUCAUUCUUGAAAAUUUCUAAGACCGGAAAGCAUUAUACACCAAAGAGAACAACUUUAACUCUAGCCCACUUUAUUAAACUCCACCAGUGACACACAUUCACGUUUCAAUGUUUAUGCAGCUGCCCUAAAUAAAUACUAAUAUUUGUUAUCUGUGUGCUUUUA